RNAcentral lists this ribosomal RNA (459 nucleotides) under uncultured bacterium. RNAcentral describes it as "partial 16S ribosomal RNA". It matches the Rfam family "Bacterial small subunit ribosomal RNA", at positions 338 to 795 of the family's 1533-position model. The record is from RNAcentral.
CCUACGGGUGGCAGCAGUGAGGAAUAUUGGUCAAUGGGCGGGAGCCUGAACCAGCCAAGUCGCGUGAGGGAAGAAGGUACUGAGUAUUGUAAACCUCUUUUGCCAGGGGACAAAUGCGGCCACGGGUGGCCGUAAGAGGGUACCUGUAGAAAAAGCAUCGGCUAACUCCGUGCCAGCAGCCGCGGUAAUACGGAGGAUGCGAGCGUUAUCCGGAUGUAUUGGGUUUAAAGGGUGCGCAGGCGGCGUGUCAAGUCAGCGGUAAAAUGUCGAGGUUAAACCCCGGCCGGCCGUUGAAACUGGCGUGCGCGAGCUGGAGAGAAGUAUGUGGAAGUCGUGGUGUAGCGGUGAAAUGCAUAGAUAUCACGAAGAACACUGAUUGCGAAGGCAGCAUACCGGAUCAACACUGACGCUGAGGCACGAAAGCGUGGGUAUCGAACAGGAUUAGAUACCCUAGUAGUC